Molecule: microRNA precursor, 94 nt
Filed under: Microtus ochrogaster (prairie vole)
Lineage: Eukaryota; Metazoa; Chordata; Mammalia; Rodentia; Cricetidae
Description: miRNA (ENSMOCG00000006788.1)
Rfam family: mir-692 microRNA precursor family (bases 1-83)
Source: RNAcentral
CAACCUCCUCAGGCUGGCUGGGCCCCAGGAGUCUCUGGGUGAGGAUCUCUUUGAGCCACUCACUCUCAAGCAUGACUAGAAGGCCUCUCCUUCC